This 216-nucleotide unclassified non-coding RNA is filed under the name Hevea brasiliensis (rubber tree). The record is from RNAcentral. Lineage: Eukaryota; Viridiplantae; Streptophyta; Magnoliopsida; Malpighiales; Euphorbiaceae.
GGUGGCCUUCUACGCUCAAAACCAUGGGAGGAUUGGGAAAAUAUAAUGAACAGCAAAAUCUGGAAUUUACAAGACGAUGUCAACAACAUUCUUCCUGUGUUAAAAUUAAGCUACUAUCAUCUCCCUUCCCAUUUAAAGAGGUGUUUCGCAUAUUGUGCAAUAUUCCCCAAGGAUUAUGUAUUUGAAAAGAAACAACUAGUCCUUCUAUGGAUGGCA